This 407-nucleotide ribosomal RNA is filed under the name uncultured bacterium. RNAcentral describes it as "partial 16S ribosomal RNA". It matches the Rfam family "Bacterial small subunit ribosomal RNA", at positions 30 to 526 of the family's 1533-position model. The record is from RNAcentral.
AUUGAACGCUGGCGGCAGGCCUAACACAUGCAAGUCGAGCGGAGCGGCGAACGGGUGAGUAAUGCCUAGGAAGCUGCCCGGUAGUGGGGGAUAACGUCCGGAAAGGGGCGCUAAUACCGCAUGCUAUCAGACGAGUCUAUGUCGGAUUAGCUAGUUGGUGGGGUAAAGGCCUACCAAGGCGACGAUCAGUAACUGGUCUGAGAGGAUGAUCAGUCACACUGGAACUGAGACACGGCCCAGACUCCUACGGGAGGCAGCAGUGGGGAAUAUUGGACAAUGGGCGAAAGCCUGAUGCAGCCAUGCCGCGUGUGUGAAGAAGGUCUUCGGAUUGUAAAGCACUUUCAGUUGGGAGGCGUUACCCACAGAAUAAGCACCGGCUAACUUCGUGCCAGCAGCCGCGGUAAUAC